This 28-nucleotide non-coding RNA is filed under the name Homo sapiens (human). The record is from RNAcentral. Lineage: Eukaryota; Metazoa; Chordata; Mammalia; Primates; Hominidae.
UGAAUGGGAAUGUGAUGGGAAUCGCCAC